This 483-nucleotide ribosomal RNA is filed under the name uncultured bacterium. RNAcentral's name for it is "partial 16S ribosomal RNA". It matches the Rfam family "Bacterial small subunit ribosomal RNA", at positions 30 to 507 of the family's 1533-position model. The record is from RNAcentral.
AUUGAACGCUGGCGGCAGGCCUAACACAUGCAAGUCGAGCGGAUGAAGGGAGCUUGCUCCUGGAUUCAGCGGCGGACGGGUGAGUAAUGCCUAGGAAUCUGCCUGGUAGUGGGGGAUAACGUCCGGAAACGGGCGCUAAUACCGCAUACGUCCUGAGGGAGAAAGUGGGGGAUCUUCGGACCUCACGCUAUCAGAUGAGCCCAGGUCGGAUUAGCUAGUUGGUGGGGUAAGGCCUACCAAGGCGACGAUCCGUAACUGGUCUGAGAGGAUGAUCAGUCACACUGGAACUGAGACACGGUCCAGACUCCUACGGGAGGCAGCAGUGGGGAAUAUUGGACAAUGGGCGAAAGCCUGAUCCAGCCAUGCCGCGUGUGUGAAGAAGGUCUUCGGAUUGUAAAGCACUUUAAGUUGGGAGGAAGGGCAGUAAGUUAAUACCUUGCUGUUUUGACGUUACCAACAGAAUAAGCACCGGCUAACUUCGUG